This is a transfer RNA of Oxalobacteraceae bacterium IMCC9480, 74 nucleotides long. It matches the Rfam family "tRNA". Rfam says of the family: Transfer RNA (tRNA) molecules are approximately 80 nucleotides in length. Their secondary structure includes four short double-helical elements and three loops (D, anti-codon, and T loops). Further hydrogen bonds mediate the characteristic L-shaped molecular structure. tRNAs have two regions of fundamental functional importance: the anti-codon, which is responsible for specific mRNA codon recognition, and the 3' end, to which the tRNAs corresponding amino acid is attached (by aminoacyl-tRNA synthetases). tRNAs cope with the degeneracy of the genetic code in two manners: having more than one tRNA (with a specific anti-codon) for a particular amino acid; and 'wobble' base-pairing, i.e. permitting non-standard base-pairing at the 3rd anti-codon position. The record is from Rfam. Lineage: Bacteria; Pseudomonadati; Pseudomonadota; Betaproteobacteria; Burkholderiales; Oxalobacteraceae.
AGGCGCGUAGCUCAGCUGGUUAGAGCACUACCUUGACAUGGUAGGGGUCGUUGGUUCGAGUCCAAUCGUGCCUA